GUCAUGGAGGCCGUAUACAUACCUUUUGGUGCAUCGCUUGCACCUGCUUUUAUAGUUGCAAGAUAUAAUUUGCAAUUUCUUUUCCACUGUCCUGCCUUGCUGCAGUGAAAGUAGGUACCCUGUCUGGAGACUUUCUUCCCCUUCUUCUUCAUCUUGCCACCCUUAGGAUUCAGUGCUUUCUUUGAACCCUUAAAACCUAACUUCUUCUUAGAGGUUUUACCCACAAGAAGAAGUGGAGCCUUUUCUUUCUUAAUAUGGCUCUCAGCUAUCUUAAGCAUAUUUAACAACUCAGGUAAGGAGGUAUUCAGUUUGUUCAUAUGAUAGUUCACAACAAACUGAGCGAAUGACUCCGGAAGAGAUUGCAGGAUCAAAUCCUGACUUAAUUAUCCAUCCAUCACAAAAUCAAGUUGACCCAAUCUAGUGAUCAGAUCAAUGACCUUCAGGACA
This 447-nucleotide long non-coding RNA is filed under the name Elaeis guineensis (African oil palm). RNAcentral describes it as "long non-coding RNA (EGUI_LNC063739)". Lineage: Eukaryota; Viridiplantae; Streptophyta; Magnoliopsida; Arecales; Arecaceae. The record is from RNAcentral.